GCAUAUCAAUAAGCGGAGGAAAAGAAACCAACAGGGAUUGCUCUAGUAACGGCGAGUGAAGCAGCAAUAGCUCAAAUUUGAAAUCUGGCGUCUUCGGCGUCCGAGUUGUAAUUUGUAGAGGAUGCUUCUGAGUAACCACCGACCUAAGUUCCUUGGAACAGGACGUCAUAGAGGGUGAGAAUCCCGUAUGCGGUCGGAAAGGUGCUCUACACGUAGCUCCUUCGACGAGUCGAGUUGUUUGGGAAUGCAGCUCUAAAUGGGAGGUAAAUUUCUUCUAAAGCUAAAUAUUGGCCAGAGACCGAUAGCGCACAAGUAGAGUGAUCGAAAGAUGAAAAGCACUUUGGAAAGAGAGUUAAAAAGCACGUGAAAUUGUUAAAAGGGAAGGGAUUGCAACCAGACUUGCUCGCGGUGUUCCGCCGGUCUUCUGACCGGUCUACUCGCCGCGUUGCAGGCCAGCAUCGUCUGGUGCCGCUGGAUAAGACUUGAGGAAUGUAGCUCCCUCGGGAGUGUUAUAGCCUCUUGUGAUGCAGCGAGCGCCGGGCGAGGUCCGCGCUUCGGCUAGGAUGCUGGCGUAAUGGUUGUAAUCCGCCCGUCUUGAAACACGGACC
RNAcentral lists this ribosomal RNA (608 nucleotides) under Cladosporium sp. JCM 28573. Its description in RNAcentral is "eukaryotic LSU rRNA". It matches the Rfam family "Eukaryotic large subunit ribosomal RNA", at positions 38 to 667 of the family's 3401-position model. Lineage: Eukaryota; Fungi; Ascomycota; Dothideomycetes; Cladosporiales; Cladosporiaceae. The record is from RNAcentral.